CCCCUCCCAGCAUCGUACCUAGCAAGUGUCCAGUACUCUGCCACUCUCGACUAUGGGAGGAAAAGUCAAGCAGAGGCAUAUCCAUUCCAUUCCUAGCUUGGGCAGUGGCUAGCGAGUGGAAGACAAUCUGCUACAAGU
Small nucleolar RNA from Tachyglossus aculeatus (Australian echidna), 138 nucleotides. The record is from RefSeq and is a predicted model, not a curated record. Lineage: Eukaryota; Metazoa; Chordata; Mammalia; Monotremata; Tachyglossidae.